This 269-nucleotide ribosomal RNA is filed under the name Acinetobacter baumannii. RNAcentral describes it as "partial 23S ribosomal RNA". It matches the Rfam family "Bacterial large subunit ribosomal RNA", at positions 2680 to 2925 of the family's 2925-position model. The record is from RNAcentral. Lineage: Bacteria; Pseudomonadati; Pseudomonadota; Gammaproteobacteria; Moraxellales; Moraxellaceae.
AGUACGAGAGGACCAGAGUGGACGAACCUCUGGUGUACCGGUUGUGACGCCAGUCGCAUCGCCGGGUAGCUAUGUUCGGAAGGGAUAACCGCUGAAAGCAUCUAAGCGGGAAGCCUACCUCAAGAUAAGAUUUCCCUAGGACUUUAUGUCCUCUAAAGAGCCGUUCGAGACUAGGACGUUGAUAGGUUGGAUGUGGAAGCAUAGUGAUAUGUGAAGCUGACCAAUACUAAUUGCUCGUGAGGCUUGACUAUACAACACCCAAGCAGUUG